Molecule: ribosomal RNA, 529 nt
Filed under: uncultured bacterium
Lineage: Bacteria
Description: bacterial SSU rRNA
Rfam family: Bacterial small subunit ribosomal RNA
Source: RNAcentral
CCUACGGGAGGCAGCAGUAAGGAAUAUUGGACAAUGGUCGCAAGACUGAUCCAGCCAUGCCGCGUGCAGGAUGACAGCCCUAUGGGUCGUAAACUGCUUUUGUGCGAGAAAAAACCCCUCUACGUGUAGAGGGCUGAUUGUAUCGUAAGAAUAAGGAUCGGCUAACUCCGUGCCAGCAGCCGCGGUAAUACGGAGGAUCCAAGCGUUAUCCGGAUUCAUUGGGUUUAAAGGGUGCGUAGGCGGAAUGAUAAGUCAGUGGUGAAAUCCUGCAGCUUAACUGCAGAACUGCCAUUGAUACUGUCAAUCUUGAGUACAUUUGAUGUGGGCGGAAUGUGUCAUGUAGCGGUGAAAUGCUUAGAUAUGACACAGAACACCGAUUGCGAAGGCAGCUCACAAAACUGUAACUGACGCUGGAGGACGACGAAGACGUAGGGUAGUACAAACGAAGUAGUAGUACUACCGUACGGUACGUACCGACGCUAGUAAACUAAUAGUAUUACUUACGUAUUGUUUGUCGAUACACUAGUAA